UACGGAGGAUCCAAGCGUUAUCCGGAUUUAUUGGGUUUAAAGGGUGCGCAGGCGGGAGAUUAAGUCGGCGGUGAAAUUUUGCAGCUCAACUGUAAAAGUGCCUUCGAAACUGGUUUCCUUGAGUGUGGAUGAAGUAGGCGGAAUUUGUGGUGUAGCGGUGAAAUGCAUAGAUAUCACGAGGAACUCCGAUUGCGCAGGCAGCUUACUAAACCAUAACUGACGCUCAGGCACGAAGGCGUGGGAUCAUACAGGAUUAGAUACCCU
This 264-nucleotide ribosomal RNA is filed under the name uncultured prokaryote. Its description in RNAcentral is "partial 16S ribosomal RNA". It matches the Rfam family "Bacterial small subunit ribosomal RNA", at positions 524 to 788 of the family's 1533-position model. The record is from RNAcentral.